Molecule: ribosomal RNA, 253 nt
Filed under: uncultured bacterium
Lineage: Bacteria
Description: partial 16S ribosomal RNA
Rfam family: Bacterial small subunit ribosomal RNA
Source: RNAcentral
UACGGGGGGGGCAAGCGUUGUUCGGAAUUACUGGGCGUAAAGGGCUCGUAGGCGGCCUUCUAAGUCGAACGUGAAAUCCCCGGGCUCAACCCGGGAACUGCGUCCGAUACUGGGAGGCUUGAAUCCGGGAGAGGGAUGCGGAAUUCCAGGUGUAGCGGUGAAAUGCGUAGAUAUCUGGAGGAACACCGGUGGCGAAGGCGGCAUCCUGGACCGGCAUUGACGCUGAGGCGCGAAAGCCAGGGGAGCAAACGGG